This 530-nucleotide ribosomal RNA is filed under the name uncultured bacterium. RNAcentral's name for it is "bacterial SSU rRNA". It matches the Rfam family "Bacterial small subunit ribosomal RNA", at positions 977 to 1509 of the family's 1533-position model. The record is from RNAcentral.
GGCCUUGACAUACUAAGAACUUUCCAGAGAUGGAUUGGUGCCUUCGGGAACUUAGAUACAGGUGCUGCAUGGCUGUCGUCAGCUCGUGUCGUGAGAUGUUGGGUUAAGUCCGCAACGAUCGCAACCUUUUCCUAUUUGCCAGCGGGUAAUGCCGGGAACUUUAAGGAUACUGCCAGUGACAAACUGGAGGAAGGCGGGGACGACGUCAAGUCAUCAUGGCCCUUACGGCCAGGGCUACACACGUGCUACAAUGGUCGGUACAAAGGGUUGCUACCUCGCGAGAGGAUGCUAAUCUCAAAAAGCCGAUCGUAGUCCGGAUCGCAGUCUGCAACUCGACUGCGUGAAGUCGGAAUCGCUAGUAAUCGCGGAUCAGAAUGCCGCGGUGAAUACGUUCCCGGGCCUUGUACACACCGCCCGUCACACCAUGGGAGUUUGUUGCACCAGAAGUAGGUAGUCUAACCGCAAGGAGGACGCUUACCACGGUGUGGCCGAUGACUGGGGUGAAGUCGUAACAAGGUAAGCGUAGAUGA